This 603-nucleotide ribosomal RNA is filed under the name Maurea waikanae. Its description in RNAcentral is "partial 12S ribosomal RNA". The stretch from base 174 to 603 matches the Rfam family "Bacterial small subunit ribosomal RNA", at positions 874 to 1384 of the family's 1533-position model. Lineage: Eukaryota; Metazoa; Mollusca; Gastropoda; Trochida; Calliostomatidae. The record is from RNAcentral.
GGAGGUUAUGAAAAUUAAUGUAUGUGGGAACCUGCUUUUUUUAUAGAGGUGAAAUUUGUAUAAGGAGGGUUAGUCUUUUGUUUUCUUAUUUUGAAGCCUCGAAAGUUUAGUGUAAGACCGGGAUUAGAUACCCCGUUAUUUAUUCUAUAAACUUUAAUUUAUUGUAAUUUACUUGGGUAUUACGGGCUGCAGUGAAAUUGUUAGUAGCUUGCAGAUGGCUUAAAACUCAAAAAACUUGGCGGUGCCUUAAUUCUUUCCGGGGGAACCUGUCCUUUAAUCGAUGGUCCACGAUUUAGCUUACCUUAUUUUGAAUAUUAGUUUUGUUAUUAAUACAGCUUGUAUACCGUCGUCGUCAGAUUACCUUUAAGAGAUGAGAAGUUGUCGGGAGGAGUGGGUUCAUAUAGUUUGUCUUGUUUACACAGGCGGACUGGAGUUCUUAAUUCUAGAUGUCAGAUCAAGGUGCAGCUUAUGAUGAGGGAGAGAUGGGUUACAAUAGUUAUUUACUAAUACGGAUUUCGUUUUGUAAUAAAUGAAUUGAAGGUGGACUCGGGAGUAAUAUAAUUUUAAGUAGAUAGUUUUUGUGAAACUGGUGCUAAGGUGCGU